RNAcentral lists this ribosomal RNA (473 nucleotides) under uncultured Magnetococcus sp. RNAcentral describes it as "bacterial SSU rRNA". It matches the Rfam family "Bacterial small subunit ribosomal RNA", at positions 79 to 587 of the family's 1533-position model. Lineage: Bacteria; Pseudomonadati; Pseudomonadota; Magnetococcia; Magnetococcales; Magnetococcaceae. The record is from RNAcentral.
UUCGGGAUGCUGGCGAGUGGCGAACGGGUGAGUAACACGUGGAGACCUGCCUCGGGGUGGGGGACAACAGAUGGAAACGUCUGCUAAUACCGCAUACGCCUUACGAGGGAAAGAUUUAUCGCCCUGAGAGGGUUCCGCGUCGGAUUAGCUAGUUGGUGGGGUAAAGGCCUACCAAGGCGACGAUCCGUAGCUGGUCUGAGAGGAUGAUCAGCCACACUGGGACUGAGACACGGCCCAGACUCCUACGGGAGGCAGCAGUGGGGAAUAUUGCGCAAUGGGGGCAACCCUGACGCAGCGAUGCCGCGUGGGUGAAGAAGGCCUUCGGGUUGUAAAGCCCUUUCAGUGGGGAAGAUAGUGACGGUACCCACAGAAGAAGCUCCGGCUAACUCCGUGCCAGCAGCCGCGGUAAUACGGAGGGGGCGAGCGUUGUUCGGAAUUACUGGGCGUAAAGGGCGCGUAGGCGGUUUUGCAAG